RNAcentral lists this ribosomal RNA (620 nucleotides) under uncultured bacterium. RNAcentral's name for it is "bacterial SSU rRNA". It matches the Rfam family "Bacterial small subunit ribosomal RNA", at positions 338 to 956 of the family's 1533-position model. The record is from RNAcentral.
CCUACGGGAGGCAGCAGUGGGGAAUUUUGGACAAUGGGCGCAAGCCUGAUCCAGCAAUGCCGCGUGAGUGAAGAAGGCCUUCGGGUUGUAAAGCUCUUUUGUCAGGGAAGAAACGGUGUGGGCUAAUAUCCCGCACUAAUGACGGUACCUGAAGAAUAAGCACCGGCUAACUACGUGCCAGCAGCCGCGGUAAUACGUAGGGUGCAAGCGUUAAUCGGAAUUACUGGGCGUAAAGCGUGCGCAGGCGGUUUUGUAAGUCUGUCGUGAAAUCCCCGGGCUCAACCUGGGAAUUGCGAUGGAGACUGCAAGGCUAGAAUCUGGCAGAGGGGGGUAGAAUUCCACGUGUAGCAGUGAAAUGCGUAGAGAUGUGGAGGAACACCGAUGGCGAAGGCAGCCCCCUGGGUCAAGAUUGACGCUCAUGCACGAAAGCGUGGGGAGCAAACAGGAUUAGAUACCCUGGUAGUCCACGCCCUAAACGAUGUCUACUAGUUGUCGGGUUUUAAUUAACUUGGUAACGCAGCUAACGCGUGAAGUAGACCGCCUGGGGAGUACGGUCGCAAGAUUAAAACUCAAAUUGAAAUUUGACCGGCNGAGAGNGCGAGACGACGACGAGGAGGAGG